UGUUGAAAAUUAUAAAAAUUU
Molecule: non-coding RNA, 21 nt
Filed under: Caenorhabditis elegans
Lineage: Eukaryota; Metazoa; Nematoda; Chromadorea; Rhabditida; Rhabditidae
Source: RNAcentral